Non-coding RNA from Pelobates cultripes (western spadefoot toad), 204 nucleotides. NCBI's taxonomy places the organism in Eukaryota, Metazoa, Chordata, Amphibia, Anura, Pelobatidae. The record is from the annotation of a GenBank genome assembly.
UUUCAAUUAUGCGGCUACUGGAAAGCCAUGCUUCAGUGGCCCUAAAGUGAACUCCACCUAACUUUUUAACCCCCAUAACUCCAGAACCCCUGGUCCGAACGGGGUGAUUUUUGAAUAUGUUAUUCACCCAGAUCAGGGCUAUCAGGGGAUACCACAGUGGUGUACCCUAUGUAUUUGGGGUACAUCUACAACUUGGGGAAAAAU